GGCGGCGAGGUCUAUAGUGGCAUUUCCCGGGCCUCUGCAAUACUUUCUUUGUUGCCAUAACAACUAAUAAGGAGACUCAGUUUGACCUUCUUUGUUUCUCGGAGAUGCCUAAAGUGCAAGGGCUUCUCGCACUGUUGUUUUUAAUAGGAAAAAGCCAGCCAGAAGCUGCUCAGGAAAGCAGAGGACAGACUGCAAAGAGCGCGCCAGGUGAAGCAGAGACCCGGAUACCCAGCUGCUGUUUUUAACGACCCGGCGCUCAGCCACUAGCCAAUCAGGCUUCCCCCGCCCCCCCCCUCCCCCCGGAGUGCUUUCCUCCUUGAUGUUAUUAUCUUUGGCCUUUGGUAAUGAUGCAGUCCCCUCCUGUACUGAAGAGCAGAGGUUGCUUGGGUGGAUUUAAAGAUGUCGGAGAAGGAUGGUGACCCAUGUAGAUUUCCUCCACCCCAUAUGACAGUGUUGAAUCAGGACAGUUCAUUGAGGAGUUCAUUGUCAGCCUUCACUGCAAGAAAAGAGUUUGAUUCGUAGGAGCCGGUUCACGACCCAGUGAAACAGGAAAUGCCUGGAAGUGCUUGUCUGCGGCCAGAACCUACAAAGUGCUGGGCGAGUGCUAUCAUUUCUCCUUUGAGGUCAGGCCAGACAGGAAAGGCAGUCGAAGCCCUCUUUCCCGACCAAUUGGCUCAUGGAUGCUGAUGAAAGAGAUUG
Molecule: long non-coding RNA, 699 nt
Organism: Orcinus orca (killer whale)
Lineage: Eukaryota; Metazoa; Chordata; Mammalia; Artiodactyla; Delphinidae
Exons: 3
Source: RefSeq, a predicted model, not a curated record